This 57-nucleotide transfer RNA is filed under the name Loxodonta africana (African savanna elephant). It matches the Rfam family "tRNA", at positions 8 to 63 of the family's 71-position model. Rfam says of the family: Transfer RNA (tRNA) molecules are approximately 80 nucleotides in length. Lineage: Eukaryota; Metazoa; Chordata; Mammalia; Proboscidea; Elephantidae. The record is from Rfam by way of RNAcentral.
UGGCAGAGUGGUUAAGCAUUUGGCUGCUAACCAAAACGUCGGUGGUUCGAAUCCACA